Molecule: long non-coding RNA, 17442 nt
Organism: Pseudopipra pipra
Lineage: Eukaryota; Metazoa; Chordata; Aves; Passeriformes; Pipridae
Exons: 4
Source: RefSeq, a predicted model, not a curated record
UAAGGAAUACAGGGGAUAGAUAUUUCCACUGAACUGCUAAUUAGGUGAUUAUGGUCAGUAAGAAUAAAAUUCUUUUUUUGUUUUUAGUUUUAAUAACGAAAAAAGAUGAAUAGAAGCUUAACAUUAUGAUAAAAAAAUUGAUAGGAAAUGGGAACUGUGUUGCAAGUGCAAAUAUGCUGGAAUUUUUUAAACCUUGACAAAAAAAAAUCAGAUAUUUUAAUUUACCUAGUUUUCUUACAAUCUGCUGACAGUUUAAGUAGCUCUGUUCUAGCAGACUCAAGGAAAAAAAUUCUCAUAUUAAUUGUUUUGUCAGACACCGCUAAUCAUAUGUGUUCAUUGCUUGAACCACUAUUAUUUGUUUUGGAAAUACACAGAAAAAUUAAGCUUUUAUACAAUAAAUUACACAGAAUUAGUUGUAAUAUGUCCUUUCAGAAGAGGAAAAAAACUUUAUGAAUGAAUCAGCAGGUUAUUGGUUAACACAGUAACAUAUUUGUAAAUCUAAUAACAAUAUUUCAUUUAAAAAGUGUAUAUUUCACAUAGCAGAAGCAAAUAUAAAUAAGUCUUUUUAAUGCUAUGUCUUUCCAGGAACUUUUGCAUCAUGAAAUCAGGUUAAAUAUCUCAGAUUCUAAUACCUAAUACUUAAAGGCUGUUUCCUUUCAGUAGUUAUAACAACCUGAUUUGUAUCUAAUUGAACAUUAAAGUAGUGUGAAGUACUGGCUUCUUUGUUUUCCAAGACUGCAGUGUGGCUUUGCUGCUAGAAAUAUUGAAUCAGUAAGCAGAUGCAGUGACAAAAAAAUUCAAUUUUUCAUAAUUUGAAACAAAAGGCAGCAAUAUAGAAGAACGAGCAUAAAUAUAUGAGUUUAAAGAAAAUCCACAGCAAUUUUAAAUUUUAAUUCUCUAAGCAAAAUAUAAUAUUCAACCCAAGAUCUUCCACAAAACUAUUUAUUUUCUCUAAAUACAGAAUUUUCCUUUUCCCUCCAGUGCGUCACCCAUUGUCCUCUGCACGCUAAAAUCAGACAAGUUGAAAAAACAUAGAGAAGUACCUCUAUUCUGAAUUGGUUAAAAUCUAGUUUUUCCACAGUUGUCGCUUAGAUUAAAUUAUUUAAUACACUUCAUAUUUUUGUUGAAAUGCUCCUCAAAAGCAAAUUUUAUUCUCUGGAAAGGUAAGAAAAUUUUUGCUAAUAAUUGUUCCAUUAUAGUCAGGUUUGAAUUGCCUCAGCUUUAUAGCCCAUUUUUACCUAUUAAGAGACAGCAAACACAGUGUCUGGGGCUUGUACAUUUUCAUUUGUUGCUCUUAGUAAUUAAUUUUCACUUUUAACAAAAUAAUAGAUCUGAGUACUAACCGCUAGUCCCAGAGACUCUGCAAAUAGUCUGAGCGUUUAACUACUGAGUUACCUGCAAUUUGAAGACACUGAAGGCCAAUUACACUUUAUGCACAUUUGUUGAACUCAUUAGUCUUCUAAACAAUUUUCCAUUUGUCUUAAUAGGAUUAGAGGAAAAGAUUUGUCUGGUGAGAGUGAAAGAUUUAGACUAUUUUAUCAGAAAAAAUACAUGGAAAAAAAGGAGAAUAAAAAAUUCCUUAAAUACAAAAAAGCAAAUGUUUUGGUGCUGUAGGAUGUCUCUGUAGGUGCUAUAAAGACCUUGGAGCCUCUGCAGGUGCCAGAAUAAAGUCUUCUAGAAUUUUUUCAGUCCCACUGUGGUCCUGAAACACAAAAAGAACUGUUGCCCACAGAAUAUCACAGUGUUCCUAAUCUUAAAAUAGAAAAGCAGAGGUGUGGUAUGCCAACCCAUUCUACCCUCCUUGAUGCAAGGAAUUUUGAUAAAUAUCAGCUACAGCCCUCAGAAAGGACUAAGUGAAUGUCAGUAGCACAUGCACAUGAGUGUGUUUGCACAUACCCCUCCAUGGGCAUUUUUGUAUCUUAAAUUGUACUCACAAAAUCCCAGAAUCAUUGAGGCUGGAAAAGACCUCCCAGGUUAUGUAGUUCACCCUGUACCUGAUCCCCACCUUGUCAACCAGCCCAGAGCACUGAGAGCCACAUCCAGUUGUUCAUUGGACACCUCCAGGGAUGGGGACUCCAACCCCUCUCUGGGCAGCCCCUUCCAAUGCCUGACCACCCUUUCCAGCAAAAAAUUCGUCCUGAUGUCUAGCCUGAUCCUCUCCUGGCACAGCUUGACACCGUUUCCCCUUGUCCUGCCCCUUGUUCCCUGGAAGCGGAGCCCAACCCCUCCCUGGUUCCACCCUCCUGUCAAGGAGUUGCAGAGAGUGGGAAGGUCCCCCCUGAGCCUCCUUUUCUCCAGGCUGGUUUCCCCCAGCUCCCUCAGCCGCUCAUGGUGCUUCAGACCCUUCCCCAGCUCCGUUCCCUUCCCUGGACACGCUCCAGCCCCUCAAUGUCUCUCUUGUCUGAGGGGCCCAGAACUGCCCCCAGCACUCGAGGUGUGUCCCCAGCACUGCCCAGCACAGGGACGGGCACUGCCCUGGGCCUGUGACACACCAUGGCUGGGACAGCACAGGGACCAUUGGCCUCUUGCCCACCUGGGCACACAUGGAUUCAUGUCCAGCUGCUGUCAUCAGCACCCCCAGGGCCUUUUCCAGUUUUCCAGCCCCUCUGCUCCAGCCAGGAGUGUUCCGUGGUGGUGGUGUGUCCUCCUCACUCUCCUUUUCCAAAAGUAACCAUGUCCUCUAUCUAUGUGGUUUUAGCUGCUUGGGCACUAUCUCUCCAACCUCUUCAAUCUGCUGAAGAACACAAGAAAUGGCAAGUAACACAUGGCCAAAAUAUGUCUUCAACUAUUUUCAUCAUAAUCUAAAGGGGACGUAAAACACAAUGGAGAGCAUGUGUUCAGAUCUCAUUUCAGACCACAUCUGCAUGUUCUAGUUUUUUGUUUUGUUUUGGAUUGGUUUUUGUUUGUUUGUUUGUUUUUUGGGGUAUCUCCUUGUGUUUUGUUUUGCUGAGUUGGGCUUUGUUUCGUGGGUUUUUUUGGUGUUGUUUUUUCUUUUUAAUAUGACAAAUGUAAUUUUGAAGUCAAUUUCUUUUAGAUACAUGGCCAUAGCAAUAAACAGUGCUAUGCAGGAAAAGGUUUCUGUUUUGUUUUGAUUUAGUUUAGUUUAGUUUAGCUGUUUUGUAUUGUUUAAAAUCACAGAUUAUGCUGUUUGUCAAACCAUUUCCACUCCCACUCACUGUCCAGGAAUUAUAUACACACAUGACAAACACCUAUUUCAAAAAAGAAGCAACCAGAGCUAAAUUUUUUUAGAUAAGGCCUUCCAAGGCUCUUUUACCUAAAAAUAGUAGUAACCUGCUAUUAAAAAAAUAAAUAAAUGAAAAAAAAUCUCAGCUUCAUUUUCAGAUCCUAGUGUUUGAUACAUAACAUGGGAGCUAUGGGCAGAAAGGAGGAGAAAUCCUGUAUAAUGUGCAAUUUUGAUCUGCAGUCAUUUAGAGACAAUAAAUAUGAAACUCUUAUUUUAUGGAGAUGUAUCUUCAGGGUAGAAAAAAGCUUUAAGAACCACCUUCGAGUGAUAUAACUGAUCAUCAUAUCAUGCUAGAUUGAGCUGAAUGUAAGUGCCACGCUGGCAGCACUCUGAUUGCAUUGCCUCUGCUCUUACCUAGCUAACAGAUGUCAUUUUAUGUCAGCAGGAGACUUUUCCACAUCCUCUGGCCUAUUCACUAGUUCCAAUUUACAUGUUGCCACUGGACAAGACAAUUCACAAACAUUUGAUGAACAUUCAUUGAUAGGCUGACGAAACUGAUUUCUCAGUCACUGGAGCUUCAUAUUGAUUCAUCUGGGAACUGGUCAGAUGUGUGACAGCACUGAGAUAUACAAAAAAUCUAAUAUUCAAAAUAAAAGCAUUAAAAAGCAGAGAAGAAAUGGAAAUUCUGAGUGUCUCCAAGUUCUUGUUUCUAUAUCAAGUUACACUGUACUACUAGAAGAUAAAUAAUUAUUGCUCUUACUGUGCACUGGGAAUAUAAAUUUCAGCAUGUAUUCAGGAAUUAAUAUUAUUUAAAUUUGUUUUAUACUUACAUAAAAUGUUUCCAGGGUCAUCUGUCAUUUCUAAGGAUGCAGAUGUAUUUGAUCUCUGUCUCUUCCCUGACAGACUACUGACUACAGUAAUGCUGUUUGUGGAGAUGUUAAAUAUCUUCCUGUUCAGUUCAUCCAGUGUCCAGCUGCUCAACUAUUGGCAAAAUCUCACCUAAAUAGCCCCAGACUUCUAUAAUAUCUCCUCCCUGACUGUCAGUUUAUCACAGGAUUGAUUUUACCUGCAGGCAACUCUCCUCAGUGGCAUUUUGCCACUGAGUGAUCUGUGGAUGGUUAGGUUUCUCUUUGUACGGACCGGAAAGUCUGAGGCUACACCAUCACAGUGAGACACUUCAGCAGAAAACUGUUUAUUCACUGAUUUCAGUUUAUAUGACAUGUGCCAUGAAUUGACUUGCUUUAAUUGUUGGCUGUGGAUGUGGGACAGAUUUACCCUUGUUACAUGGCAAUCCUUACCAAAUUCAUUUAACUGCCAGGAUUUUAAGACAGAUAAAUUAAAAAAACCCACAACUAUUCCUUUUCCAGUUUCCUCUGAAGCACUUGUCUUAUUACCACUUUCUUGUUUUUUGGUUUUUUUUUUCACUUGCUUCCUAAUGGUUGGGUAUUCAGGGACCCUCUGAACCUUUCAAUCUGUCAUGGAAUCCCUUUCUCCUUGACCCACGUACAGCUCAUUCUCAAAGGGCGGUAUUCAACAGUUCCUUUUUUUUUUCUUCCUCUGCUUUCUAAAUAUUUUGACCCCUUCUUAUCUUCUUGGAUGCUUUUGCAUUGAAUACAACUAUAAAUAAUUAAUUAAACACUAAUAACAAAUCAUUUAUGCUUUGAAUUUUUUUACACAGGUAUUAAGAGGCCUAGAAAAGUCAUGGUUGUUGCAACAUCUCCUCCAUCCUCCUUCUCCUGCCAUGGAGCUCUUCGAAGCAUGUCUGUAGUGGUAUAAAUUACAAAAAAAGGGUUACUUGAGAUGGGGAUGUUGACAAAGCAUAGAGAAAGUUGAGAUUCAGGGUUUCUUGCCUUUUUAUUUCCUGCAGUUCCUGAGGAUUAGAGAAUUUACAUCAGCAUAGGAAGAUUGUACACUUCAGUAAGGUGUUAAUACCUUGAGGAUGCAGUGAGGAAGGAGAAAUAUCACUGGAGGAAUAAGUGAUGCCUAAAAUGACCAAUUAUGGGUCUAAUUUUCUGUCCUGUUUCCAGUCAGAGUUAUAAGCUGCAAUAUUUGGAAUUUCCUGCCAUCAGCUGUGUAUUGCCAGAGGCAUAGGCAGGCCUAUUUGUAUUUUGUCAUGUAAUUUUCAAAUUAUUUUAUUUACUCCCAAAAGAAUCAUUCAGUGUAGUACAAAUUCACAGUUUAACUGGAUUUCUUGGUUGCUUCUCGCUCCAAGUUCCAUUUAAAUGUAAACAUGUGGAUCUGAUCUGUCAAAACUUCUGUUGGGUUUGAAGCCUUAUUCUUAUUUCAGUCUCUAUUUUGAGAAUCCUCCUAGGCUUUUCCAUGGUCUAUCUCUUAACCCAUACAGCACAAUACAACUUUUCCUUGAGGGUUUUUUUUGUGUGUUUGUUUGUUUGUUUGCAUUUUUUUAGCUGGAGUAAUUUUGUCUUAAAGGACAUGUUGCAAUAUGCAUGUGCAAACAUGAAGAAAUAUACAGCUUCCAGUGACUUUAAAAAUUCGAGACUUACUUUGAUAAAAUAGAACAUUAGUCCAUUUUCUCACGUGAAAAUGUUGAUAUUUAAGUUAUUGUAAUCCAUUUCAUAACAAAAAAUAAAUAAGAUGAACUGGUGAGUUUCUUGGAGAGAAUUAUAUAUCUCCAGCAACACAACAUUUUGACCAUAUCUCUGUUUUCUUACUUUCAUUGCAGAAACACAAAACUUUGGACUCUCAGGCAGAAGAAAACUUGACUGCACUCGGGUUGAGCUGUUACAUGAAAGAGUGUUCAGACUGUUCACUUCAGAAUCUUGCCUCACUAUUGCUACUCCAACGUAUCCAAAAAUUGAAAGCCUGCUCCCACACACUGCCUGGGUGAUUGGAGAAGAGAAAAGCUACACAACCAAGGUUUGCCAUUGCUGUGUCUGCUUGUAGAAGAACAAUUUGCAGCAGUGAACUCCUCAUGGUUUCUUCCUCUCUGUUCAAUCCACAGCACCAUUAACCAAAACUUUAGAUGGGUUAUUAGAGAAAAGAUUCCUCCCUCUGAGGGUAGUAAGGCCCUGGCACAGGUUGCCCAGAGAAGCCGUGGCUGCCCCAUCCCUGGAAAUGUCCAAAACCAGAUUGGACAGUGCUUGGAGCAAACUUUGGGAUAGUGGAAGCUGUAUAAUGUACAUUCCAAAAUAUUAAUUUUGAAAUAAUUUUGAAAUCACAGACGUAGGUAUUAGCUUGCGCGCAAACACACACACCUACACACUGGCAUACAAUAAGUUCAUUUUGAAGAAGUAAGAGAACCUUUAGCUUGAGAUGUGUUUAUCCAAAUACCAGCUGAGCUAAAUGUGACAAGCUUUACAUUCUGUAUGUAAAAGUACAUGCUUCUAUCAGUUCAAGUUGCAGAAAGCAAAGAUAAAAAACUUUAAAAGCAUGAAUUCUGAUGUGCUUUUAAUUGCCAAGGGAAAUACAGGCAGACAUGGAUUUCUGGAGGCUACACACUUUCCUCUGGCUUGUUCAAGCAUGCAAACAAAUAUAUUGUUUUUUUUGGUUUGGGGUUUUUUUUUAAAAUGUAAAGGAAUAAAAAGUUAAGGUGGAUGCCCCUUGCCAAAACCACAGCAGACAUAAGAAGUAGAAGGACAAUUUCAAAGCAGUGUGCAAGUCUAUCAGCACGAAGCUUGUCUCAGUCUCCACACACCACUUUGAAAGAUUUCCCAGAGGUUUUUGUCUGGUAUUUUCUUAUUCCUAUAAAAGUGCUAAAUGAAAGAAAUGAAAAAAAAAAAAAUAAAGUCUGAGAGAAAAUGCUCUGUGCAAAAUGAGACAAUGAGCAAAGUAUCUCUGGCUGGAUAAACAGAGUUUUGGUGUGGGAAAGAGAAAAAUGAUUAUUUGGUGAAUAUUUUGUUCUUUGAGAAAACAUUUUUCAAGUGUUCAGCUUUGUCCAGAGGCAAAUAAUACCUUUGAGUAACAAACACUUUGACAUUUGGCUGCAGUGAGUGGCUAUAAACUCUUCAGAAGAGACAGGCAAGAAAGGAGAGGUGGUGGGGUAUCUCUUAAUAUUAGGGAGUAUUUUAAUACCUGGAGUUCAAGGAUGACGAGGGUAGGGUUGAGUGUUUUUUGGUAAAGAUUAGGGGAAAAGCCAGCAAGGCAGAUACUCUGGUGGAAAUGUGUUACAGACAACCCAGCCAGGAUGGAGAAGCACAAGAAAUAUUCUAUAAGGAGUUGGUAGAAGUGUUACGAUUGCUGGUUCCUGUUCGUGUGGGGCACUUCAGCUUAGCAUGUGUCUACAGAAAAUACAAUGCAGGGACUUACUCUGGAUAUUGCCUUUAAAGACAAUAAAAACUGUUUGUAUAAAGACAUUAGCAACAAAAGGAGGGUUCAGGAAGGUCUCCAUCAUUUAUUUGAUAUAGGGGGGAUUGUCACCAAGGAUGAGGAAAAGGCUAAGGUACUUAAUGCCUUCUCUGUCUCAGUCUUUAAUAACAGGACCAGUUUUUCUUCUGAGCUGGAAGACAGGGAUGCAGAGUAGAAUGAAGCCCCUAUAACACAAGAGAAAAUGGUCAGUGACCUGCUACACCAAUUGGACAGAGAGGAAGCAGUCUCAAGUUGCACAGGGGAAGUUUAGGUUGUUAUCAUGAAAAAUUUCUUCAAUGAAAAAGUUGUCCAUCUUGGAACAGCUGCCCAGGGAGGUGGUGGAGUCCCUAUCCCUGGAUGGACUUAAAAGCCAUGUGAAUGUGGCACUUGGCGACAUGAGUUAGUGGUGAACAUGACAGUAUUGGGGGAAUGACUGGACUUAAUGAGUUUAGAGGCAAUUUUCAACUUAAACAAUUCUACGAUUCUAUGGCUAGCUGAAUAAAGUUGGACCUAGUCUGUUGUUAAAAGCUGCUUCAGAAGACCCUGAUCUCUAUAGACAUGGGACAAUUUUGAAUGAAUAAAGAGGGAUAAGAGGGAUUUUCCUCUCAUAACUGCUAAAAACAACCUUUGAAGACACCAAUAUGAACACGCUCAAGGACUUCAAGGAGACCUACCAAUGCUGUGGAUGGCUUCCCUAUUUCAUGCUUGACUUUCCAUUCUGUCAGUCAUCAACACAGAAAUAGCUCAGCAACAGAAAUGUUAUUAGGGUAAGGUGGUAUAGAAUGACAAUAAUAUUUUGGAAAGGUAUAUAAUUAGUUCCACUUCUGCAAAGAAGUAGGACCUUGACCAAAUGCUGCCUGAAUCAACAUUUACUUUGCUUUCUGGAAAAAAAAAAAAAAAAAAAAAGGCAGGAAAACCCUUAGGUUUAGUUUUAGAGGUAAGUUACUAACUGCAGUAUAAUAUUCAUGGUCUAAAUACAGAAAGAGGAGUAAAACUGCAGGAUGAAUCUGGUCCUCCUUAAAUGGGUGAAAAUUAUUGUUAUUGUAGCUCUACAUCAUCUUAAAUUUAACCAUUAAAUACUUUUAUGCAACAAGCAACAGUUUUACAACUGUUUUGUAAUUAUCUUAUUUACAACUCCCAUUUUUGUCCUAUUGCCCACUCACAGGUGAAACUCUGUGAGACUAUUCAAAAAAAUGACGCUAUGAUAUGACAGAUUCAUGACAUGAAUAUGGCUCUUCAGUAGAGAUUUAUAUACCUGAAAUCUGUAGGAUACUAUGAGAAUAUUCUCUAUAUUUGACAGUUGCAGAGGAAACCUUACUAAAAAAUGAAGGAAAAAAAUCCAAAUAAACCAAACCUGCUCUGGUUUUAGACAUUUUCUUCUGAUCUUGCUUAUCUUGAUAAUUUACAUUCUUGCAUAUUUGAGUUGUAAGUUCUGAGGAUAACCCAGCAAUUAUUUUUCUAAAAUCCUUUUUAAAUUUUAUUUAAUUGUCUCAGUUUAAUGCAUAAGUUCAGACUUCAGUGAAAAGCUGUGCAAGAUUGUAUUAAAAUAUUCAAAAUUCCCUUUAAACAAUAUCUUUAAUGUCUUAACAUCAUAAAAGUGUGUAAAACAAUGCGUUAACCUCAAACUGAAGUUUUUAAAUGUAGGUCACCCUUAUUUUCAGUAGUCCUCAUUAGUCAAAACUGGGAAUAAUAAAACCCCAAUUCACUGUAGUGAGUAUUGGUUUUUUAUAAAGUUAUGUCUAUCAGAAGAAGAAAUAAUUCAGUGUGGAUAUUCUCCAGUUGCUUCAAGAAAGCUGAAAGAGGUAUUUUAAUGACUGUAUUCCUUGAUGCCUUCGAAUUUUUAGGAAUUUUAGCUUUUUGUAGAUUUUAAUAUAGCUGUAUAAUCUGUCACAUUUUAUAGUUGUAGUUAACAGUCACCAAACCCUAUUUCUCUAUUUCAUAUUGAAUUUUUGAAAUUCUUUAGGCUUAUUUAGGUUCCUUUCAAGACAGAACUAUAGCAAAUACAACUUGUUUAAGAACAUUUGCACCCUAGGCCUGAACAACAAGAUACUAUCACAGUCAAAGCAACCUUCAAGCCUGAAACCUUGGAGAAGAUCCAAAGGCUGUAAGUGCUGUGAAUAAGAGGAAGAUGAAGAAUAAAGGGGUCUUAGGACCUUUGACUAAGUUGCUGGGGAGGUGUGCCCAGGGGGCAGACCUGAGGGUGGGUGGUUCUCAGAUCAGACCAUAAAUAGUGGAACCUGUGGACAUGGGUGCAUGCCUUUUUCGUACCCCUCAUGCCAGAGGACCUUCAUUAAUGACCUACUCUAUCGUCUUAUCUCUACUAAAUUUGCCUGGAUUUUUUUCUGCUCCUGAUCUUUUAAGGCAACACCUUUUGCUGUUAUAAUCAUUUCGUUUCACUGCAAUUAUUUUGGUAUUCUAAGAAUUCAUUAAAAACACUCUAGUUGUAGUUGUACUUAUUUCAAUAGUAAACAACCAUAAAAUAAUGUGUAAUAUAUCACAUUACAAUUUUAAUGUAAGUACUAGGAUAUAUAUAACAGCUUUCAUAUGCAUUUUUAUGAAUUUAUCACAUUAAUUUAGAAUACUAGCUUAUCUCUUUAUGCAAAAAUAGAGAGAUCUGUCUGUGAUCAUACAACUUAGUUGCCAUGUUUUAUAAUUUAACAGCUUUUCAGUCUUCUCAAAACUAUUCAAAGAAGAAUGACAGAGCAGUCCACAGUUGAGCAAUGAGGCGCAAUUCUGUUAAUUUACUCAUUCAAGAAAACUCACCUUACAUGAACAGUGACAUUUGAAUGAAUUGCAGUGCUUUUUAUGUUAACAAGGAUCAGGAACCUGAACAAAUGUAAUAAAACUGAACCUACACAAGGGCUGUAAAACUACACUUACAUGCACCUGUUGUCAAAAUCACUUUAUCUAGAAGGUUGAACACGGACUAUGAAAGAAAAAGUGUUUUAUUUUCUGAAAACAAAAGCAUUAAACCAGAACUAUUGUGAAAGAUCUUUAUGUUGUGUUUCAGACUCUUUAUAUUCCAUAAAUUGAAUCAAAAAUGGUUUGGUCAGGGAGGGACAUUUAAAGGUCAUCUAGUCCAACCCCUGUUAUGAGCAGGGAUAUUUUCAACAAGAUCAGGUGGCCCUGUCCAAACUGACCUUAAAUAUUUCCAGGAAUGGGGCACCCACCACCUCUCUGAAGAACCUGUUCCAGUGUCUCACCACUCUCAUCAUAAAAAAAUUCUUCCUUAGAUUUGGUUUUACUCUCCCCUCUUUCAGUUUAAAACCAUUAUCCCUUGUCCUGUUACUGCAGGCCCUACUAAAAUUUCUGUCCCCAUCUUUAUUGUAAGCCCCCUUUAAGCACUGGAAGGGGCUCUAAGGUCUCCCCAGAGUCUUCUCUUCUCCAAGUUGAACAACCUCAAUUCUCUCAGACUUUCAAUUAAUUCAUUGGUGGUUUAAACCAGCUAAAAUAUUGUACUGCAGACAAAGCAGUAAGAAAGGGCUUUUCUUUGAGACCUUAAAAAAGUUGUAAGAUAGUUUCCACAGCAACUAUGAUAUUACACAGCAAUAUAAUUUCAGGACUCUUGAAUUUAUUUAUUUAUUUGUGCCUGCAGGUUUGCCUCUGGCAUAAACCUUUGCUACUGAGUUGAAGCUUAUGAUACAUGUCAUACUUCUUUUUCCACUGCCAAAUAUAGAUCUGACCAGCCAGCUUGAAAGGGAGGAAUUCUCAUAGCUGAAAGAAGAGGGGGAAAAAAGAAAAAAAAAAACCUCAGUGUCAAGCUUGCAUCUACAAGGAGAUGGACAGAAAAGUGAAUACCCAGUUUUAAGAAAUAUAGAUUUUUAGCUUGCAUGCCAGGCUUAGGAAAAAUCCACAGUGGUUUAGUUUAAACUCCAUGUAGUGAAUCACUUGUUUUACACACAUAAGUGAAGGUUGUUACAAAAUGACUGCUUCAGGAUCUGAACUGUUCUGGAAUGCAGAAAAUAUAGGAAUAGGGAAUAUGAGGGAAAAAAUAAAGAGCUAAGGAGAGGAGCUGCUGCAAAUCUUGUUAAGGUCUGAAACAUCUCAGAAACGAAUUUUGAUUAUUUGCUAUGGAGAUAAAUCUGUGUGGAAUUGAAUGAAAUAGAAACUUACAGACUGUGCUUUCCAAAGGAAAGGUGAUCUUUGCUGCUUCUCCUAAGUUCUUGAAGUGAGGUGUGAAGGAGUCAAGGAUGAACCUUGUUUUCUUUGAAUCAAGUUGCAUAUGGAAAAAAAGUAAAAACAGAACCCAACUGGGUACUGAAAGCAGAAUUACACAGACAUACAGGUUAAUUUUCUUCUUCUUUCCCCCCCCCCCACCCGCCCCCAGUAAUAAUGGUGGCAAUACAGGUCUUCAUAUUGUUGGUGAGAGGCAGUUCUGACUAGAAUAUCCAGAUCAUAAAGAAGAAUGCCAAAAUGAAAAACAAAACAAAAUGUUAGGCCUAGACUACUGAAACUUUUUCCUAAAAUAUACAAAGUUACUGUAUUCUUUUAUUUUUAUGUUUACCUACCUAUUUCUCUCUCUCUCUCUCUCUCCUCUUUAUUCUUGCUUUAUAAACUUCAGCCUGAGUUCCUGGCACAGUCCAGGUAACUGUGCCAACAUAUACUUGUAUCUUCAGCAAAAAGUUGCUGAUAUUAAUUGCAUAGAUUCUGAAACUGAGAUUUGAAAUAAAGAUUCUGAAAUCUGAGAUUGUGAUGACAACAUAACAUCAAUCUUGUGUAGGUCCUGCCUUUACAAAUUGUGAAUCUUCAGCUGUGUCAUGGUAGAACUUGGGAAAUGUAAGUGGAAGAUGUGAGGGUAUGACUGUCAAGAUGAAUCAAAACCACAUUUAUGCAUAUUUAGUAUUUUUGUCUUUGGAAAAUGGGAAAAAUCUAAACCAAUAAAAUAUGAAAUUAAUACAGACAGGAUUUUAUUGAUGAAGAAGUCACUGGAGAUGGUUAAGAUUAAAUGAUUUCCUGUUUUUUUAAUCCUCAUAGUAACGAGGAUUAGUGCUCCAGUCACUGCUAUUCCUGGUUUAUCUUUAUAUCUUCUGCCUUUUCCUUAUCUAACAGUCCAUAAUUAUGAUAUAUAUUUUUGACAUUUCCAAAGGACACAUUUUGGUUUGCUUUUCAUUUUCUUUUAGCUGAAAGAAAAUAUUUAACUGGUAAAAAACUCAAGGUUAAUUCAUAAAAACAUUACUUGUCACAAUGGCAGAAUUUUUUUCAAACUGCUCUAUCAACUGCUUUUAUUAGAAGAAGCUGUUUCUUUGUGGAGGGUGCCAGAAAUUCUUCCUGAGUCUAAUGAAGACAAUACACACUGAGAAUUUUGCUCCAUGUUCCUACGGUAGUCAGACUUUCCUGACUUCAUGCGGCAUCUGCACUGUUGCAGAAACUCUAAAGAAAAGCAGAUCAAGCUUCCUUUCUUCCUUUUUUUGUGGAAUACCCUUUAAAGGUACCAUUUUGAUUCAGUAUAGAUACUCCAUUUGGAACAGUCUUUCUUGGAUUUGUGGUUACUCACAAACUGCAUUAUGAGUUAGACUCUUUUUUCCCUUCCAGCUCCUCCCUUUAGCUGUUUGCUCAUUUUAAAAGUUCUUUUUGCUUCAGAAGGAAGACUGCAUGAGUUCUCCAAACAGUUAGGUGCUUGUAAAAUAAAGGUGCACAAAUCAAGUCUUCAAUAUUCAUUUCCCUGUUGUGAAAUGUUAAGGUCAAAGCAAUGCCAGAACUGAUUUUUAACAUGUUAAUGAAGGUAUAGAAUUAUAAAUGCCUCUUUAACUGUACAUCAAAUAAAUUUUAAAAUAUGAAUUAUGCACCCAUAAACACAUGGGCAUAUUUGUGUGUAAGUUGCUUUAUCAGGAAGAAGUUUAAUAACAUUGUUUUUAAGAAUUCAAAAGAAAUACAACUCAAAAGGGUGAGAAUGAGUGCCAAAUAUGUACAGAUUUAACUUCUUGAUAAAUGGUGAGUUUAAUGUGAAUGACUUGUAAAAUGAUUUCAGCUUCACAGAGAAUUUAGUCCCCUACUAGUAUCACUAUUUGUGAAAAAAAUUUCACAAAUAUUGAAAGAAGGCAGACUCUACGUAAACUCGUCUUAAAACAAGCUUCUCCCACCUCUACCCAAGUUCAUGACCUCAAGCCUGCUUUAAUCAGUGGAGAAUGGAGAAACAUAAAAACAAUUAGGGCAGUAAGAAAUCUUACAAGAAGGUGAUCUAAAAAGAAUCACUCUUUGCAGAAUGCUGUGUGUUGAAGAUGGAGAACAUGAUCUGAGAUCAAUGAGUGAAAAUGGGUGUGUUAUACAUACAUGUGCAGUGAUUUCAUAAGGUCAGAAAAUAAAUAGAGUUAUUUUUGAUCAGUACAGCAUAAUUAAUACAACCCCACCCCCCCCCCCCCACUCUCAAAUACUGUCUCCCUGCUUCAGAAAAGUCAUAUCACUUUUUAUUCCUUUGAUUUGUUCCACUCCCUCCAGCUCUGGUCAUUAUUCACCAAACCAAACCAGAUAUCCUUUUGAGACCUUAAGAUUUGGCCCAAUAGACUCACUGAGGACUUCAAACCGCGACCAGUUACCCUGUAGCUCUCACAUCUGUGUUAGUGGGAAGUGGAGUCUCUGCAAAUGUCAUUUCAAGGCAGCUCUUUUGAAAAAUGUUUCCAAACACCUGUAACCCAGCAAAGUAUUUUAGAGUACCUGCAAGAAUAUUUUUAUUGGAUCAGUUUAUCUUCACGGAUAAUCUUCAAAUCCUGGUGUCUAGGAACAAUGUCAAAAGGCAGUGCUUUUCCUUCUGCCUCUGAACCCUCUGUACAGGAGCGACAAAAUAGAUGUGCCAAUGGAAAACAGAAAAUCUCACUAUAAAGAAAUUUCAGACAGUAAUCUCCCAUGGAAAUAUUUCCUUCUCUCUACUAUAGUAAAAUAAAAUGUGGAAUAAAACUCCCUAGAAAUGCAAUAAUAAAUGUGAUUUUCUUCUCUAACUCCCCCCUUUUUUCUAGAUUUUUCUGACUAAGACAAAAUGUCUACAAUUAAACCAUUUAUCAGAAAAAUGACUGAGUAUUAGUCUAAAAAAAUGUCCAUCUUGUUUUUUUCUUAAUUUUUUCUCUUAAUAACUGAAAUUACUUCAUCUUCCUGCUGCAAUAUCAGUUUUAUAUAAGUUUUAUAUUUUGCUGCAUUUUUUUUUCUGAGACAAUUGCCUAAUCUUUUUCACCGUUUCAUCUGGUUGAUGUUGUUAGUCACCUGGAUAAUUCUUUAUUAUUGGAGUUUCCUUGGCAGUACUACUGUAUUUUAUUUUAUAUCCAGUGCAUUUCUCUCCAUUACCACUGUACAAACAUGCUGGUUUUUGCCAGAAUGAAGAUGGAAGUAACACUCUUGGUAGUCCCAGGCUGAAGUGAACUGUAACCAAGAUAAUUAUAGUACUUUUUUGUGUUAUUCUAUCAUGCGUUUGAAUGAAAUUACCUUAUUAUCACCUUUUGGGGGGGACUUUUCUGUUUAAUAAAAAGAAAAUUAGGUCAAUCUUUUUUUUUUUUUUUUUUUUGCAACAGAAAAAGAACUGCAAAACACAUUGCUCCAAUUUCUUAUAAAAAUCUGAGAUAUAAGGCUACACUUACACACACAUUUCCAUCCUAAGACUUGAUUCAGGGCUGUGUAGUAGCCCAGUGAUGCUACCACCUUGGCAUUAAAAGGUUCACACAUAAGUUUCCAGCAGAAGAUGUGGGAGAAGUUCUCUCACCUGAGGAACUUGAAUGUGUAUUAGUCUAUGAGACCUGAUGAGGAGUCCUGGUGGAGUUGGCUGAUGCAGCUGCCCAGUCACUCUCUGUGAUAUUUGGGAAGUCCUGGAAAUCGGAUGAAGUCUCGGGUGAGUGGAUAAAGUGGAAACAUUGCAAUCACCUUUAAUAAGCAUGAAAAGGAGGACCCUGGGAACUACUGCCCUGUCAGCCUCACCUCUGUGCCUAGAGAGAUCAUGGAACAGACUCUCCUGGGGGCUAAGCUAAGACACAAGAAUUGGAAGGAGAUUCUGGACAGCCAGGAAUGUUUCACCAAGGGCAAAUCCUGUCUGAUCAACCCACUGGCCUUCUGAUGAUGAAGUAAUUGCUCCAUCAUACAAGACAUAGGUACAUCAGUGAACAAGGGAAGAGCUAUGGAUGUCAUCCAUAUGGACUUCUAUAAGGCCAUUGACAUGAUCUGUCACAAUAACCCUCUCUGUAGCUAGGAGAGAGGUGAAUUUGAUACACUGUUCAGUGGAUAAGGAAUUGAUGUUUGAGUCAUAUCCAGAAGGUUUGGUCAAUGGCUCAGAGUCCUAAUGGACAUCAGUGACCAGUGGUGCCCUCAGGGACCCAUACUGGGACCAGUGCUGCUUAUUAUCUUUAUCAAUUGCAUAGACAGGGAUUGAUUGAGUGCAUGCUCAGCAAGUCUGCAGACUUGACACCAAGCUGAGGGUGCAGGUGACACAUGCUGGAGGAAUGGAAAGCCAUACAGAGGGACCUGGACAAGCUCAAGAACUGGAGCCAUGGGAAUACAGUGAGAGCAGUGGUGCCUUGUCACAAGUUGCCCUGAGGGGUGGUGGAUGCCCCAUCCCUGGAAACAUUGAAGGUCAGACUGGAUAGGACUCUGAGCAACCUGAUUGUUGAAGAUAUUCCUGCUCAUUGCAGGGGGCUGGACUAGAAAAACUGCAAACUUCUGAUCCAAAACAUUCUAUGACUUUGUGAUUUUAUGAUUCCACGAUUGUGUUCCUAAGUGCCAAGAGCAAACUAUUUUUAAAGGUGGAUUCAGCGGUUAUGCCCCAGUAUUCUUGUUUUCUCAAGAGUGCAAGGAAAAGGAGUGUCAUGAGACAUACAAUGGAAAAAAAAAUUAUGUUGAUUAAUAUUGCUAUUUCUGUUGAUAUUCAUAUCUCACAAUAACAAAUACACACACAACCUGCAUAUACAGUAGACAGAAAAAAAGAAAGCCAAGCUCACACUGUAACACCAUACUCUGCUAGGUUGGAUAUGUGCUAAUAGAUUACCUUAUGCACUCAAUAGGGAAAGGUAAAGUUAAAGGAAGUUGCUUGGCAGAAGGAUAAAAUCAGUACCAAAACUAAAACUUGUGUUUAAAAUGCCUAAAAUCAUGAAACUUGCUAAUGAAUAGUAGAAGAUUUGUAAUUCUAUUAUGAAUAUUUAAUGGCAGGCUAGAGCAAAAAAAAAAUGUUAAGAAGAAAAAAACUUGAGAAACUUCCAAAAUUAAAUGUUAAGAGUACCUAAUAAUACAUAUUUCUUGGCAAUUCUUAAGAGUAGUAAAACAAAGUUUCUUAUUAUCUCACUGCCACCGUAAAUGUGUGGAAAAGUUGAGAAACAAUGGAAGUGCAGUGCUCAGUGGUCAAAAGAGGAAAAAAAAUAGAGCCAUUACACAGACAUGUAGAGACCCCUAAGUUAUAAAGUAAAUAUGGACAAAUGCCAUGUUCAAAAUAUUCAUCAUAUCUGAUAUACCCAGGGAGUGAUGCUUAGUCCAGAAAAGCACAGGAUAUUAGCUACAUUUGUCUACCGUGAAGAUAAAAGAACAUUUUCAUUAUGUUGCGAUACAAUAAUAUGAAGUGCAUUUUUUCUCCUUUUAUUUUCUUUUUCUUUUUUUUUUCUUUUGAAAGAUAAAAACACCUAGAGUACUUAAAGAAGAAAGGUGGUUGUGAGAAGAAACCCGUCUCCAGACCUGCACACUACUUCUUAAGUCAAAUGUACAGUCUAAAUUGACCCACUCUCAUAAAACUGAUUUUUGUAGAAUCACAGAAUGGGUUGAGUUGGAAGGGACCUUAGAGAUCAUCUCAUUUCACCUCCUGCCAUGAGCAGGGACACAUUCCACUAGCCCAGGUUGCUCCAUGCCCUGUCCAACCAGGCCUUGGACAAUCCCAGGGAUGGGGCAGCCACAGUUUCUCUGGGCAACCUGUGCCAGGGCCUCACCACCAUCACAGACAAGAAUUCCUUCCUGAUAUCCCAUCUAACCCUGCCCUCUGUCAGUUGAAGCCAUUCCCC